RNAcentral lists this unclassified non-coding RNA (327 nucleotides) under soil metagenome. RNAcentral describes it as "partial contains 5.8S ribosomal RNA, internal transcribed spacer 2, and large subunit ribosomal RNA". The stretch from base 1 to 120 matches the Rfam family "5.8S ribosomal RNA", at positions 35 to 154 of the family's 154-position model. The record is from RNAcentral.
GAUGAAGAACGUAGCGAAAUGCGAUAAUUAAUGUGAAUUGCAGAAUUUAGUGAAUCAUCGAAUCUUUGAACGCACAUUGCGCCCCUUGGUAUUCCGAGGGGCAUGCCUGUUCGAGCGUCAUUUUGACCACUCCCGCUUGCGGGGUCUUGGGCCUUCGCCUCUGGGCGGGCCUUAAAAUCAGUGGCGGUGCCGUCCGGCUCUAAGCGUAGUAAAUCUCCUCGCUAUAGGGUUCCGGAGGGAUGCUGGCCAACAACCCCCAACUUUUAAGGUUGACCUCGGAUCAGGUAGGGAUACCCGCUGAACUUAAGCAUAUCAAUAAGCGGAGGA